UCAAGCAAGCUCUGGCCUGAUUGUUACUGUGAGAAUAUUUUGUAGAUAAAUAACUGUUAACAGUUAAUUGCAUCUACAGCUGAUUGCAUCUACAAUCAACAAUGGAGAUUGCCCUCGGCAAUGCGGGGAGCCUCUUCAUCCAAUCAGUUGCAGGUGCCAGAAGACAGAAUUGAGGAUUUCACAAGUCAGAGAAGAAGGAUUUCUACCUCAACUUCAGUCAGCUGCUUCCCCUGGGAAAUUUGAACUCAACUUCUGCAUCACUGGUAUCAGAGUUUCCAGCUCGUGGCCUGCCCCACAGCAUUCAGACUUACCAGCCUCCACAGUGGCAUGAGCUAAUUCCUCAUCAUAAAUCUCUUGAGAUAUAUAUGUCUUCUAAAGAACUGCUCAGCAGAAGUAAAAGGAUAAGCAAUUUAGAAUGUGGACAGGAUGCCAACUUUCUGGCAAGGAAGGGGGAGACAGGUCAGUCAGACCAGCUUCUAGACCUGCAAAAUCUCAAAAGGUGCCAUGUCCAGGUGGCAGCCAUCAG
Molecule: long non-coding RNA, 526 nt
Organism: Choloepus didactylus (southern two-toed sloth)
Lineage: Eukaryota; Metazoa; Chordata; Mammalia; Pilosa; Megalonychidae
Exons: 3
Source: RefSeq, a predicted model, not a curated record